Molecule: non-coding RNA, 54 nt
Organism: Salmo salar (Atlantic salmon)
Lineage: Eukaryota; Metazoa; Chordata; Actinopteri; Salmoniformes; Salmonidae
Source: Rfam
AAAUGAAUGCACUGUAAGUCGCUCUGGAUAAAAGCGUCUGCUAAAUGACUAAAG